Pezoporus occidentalis (night parrot) is the source of this 539-nucleotide long non-coding RNA. RefSeq lists it as uncharacterized. The record is from RefSeq and is a predicted model, not a curated record. The transcript has 3 exons. NCBI's taxonomy places the organism in Eukaryota, Metazoa, Chordata, Aves, Psittaciformes, Psittacidae.
UACAGACACCCAUUCAGCCAUAGAGUGAUGCAUAAGAGGCCUGCUGGCAGUAUGGGUUGCAGGCCUGUAGUAUGCAGCAAUUAAACAAGUCUACUCCUGGACACGGACUUCGACUGCAGCUGUUAGUUGCUAGGCAUCACAAAAGCCAUGAACAGAAAUUCUGCUACAGUACAGCUCAUCAAAGCAUGAACUACAGAUAACAGAAAGGAUGUUUCAGGUCAAAGGAAAGAAGCCUUUUUGUGUGCAGGCAGAACAUAUCUCAGAUGACCAAAAUUCUUCAAACAUAAAGGAAUGAUAGAUCAAUAGUGACUUUUUGGGAUUUGAAAGAGCCCUCUGUUGUAAUGGAAGGCAGUUGCUUUUGAAAUCUGCCCACAUCCAUGGAGAGGGGCAGUCUUGGUAAAAGCUGCAAAAUGUAGAUAGUCUAGUCCACAGUCAGUUAGCCAGUUUUGUCUUGUCUGCAGCUACUCUUGCAGUCUCAUCCAUCGAGUCAAGUGAGGAUUGUGAAGAACCAGUGCCCCAGACCAUUACAGCAGAUUUUC